AUUGCUGCUCGGCCUUUUGACUAAGAUCAAGUGUAGUAUCUGUUCUUAUCAGUUUAAUACAUUGUAUGUAUGUAUGUAUUUCUACCAGAGCCCUGCUCAGCUUUGGCUUAUGCUAGUGCUGGGGAUUAAACCUGGAAUUUCAGAGCCUCAGUUAUAAAAAUAUU
Molecule: non-coding RNA, 164 nt
Organism: Erinaceus europaeus (western European hedgehog)
Lineage: Eukaryota; Metazoa; Chordata; Mammalia; Eulipotyphla; Erinaceidae
Source: Rfam